This is a non-coding RNA of Lactuca sativa (garden lettuce), 1110 nucleotides long. The record is from RefSeq and is a predicted model, not a curated record. Lineage: Eukaryota; Viridiplantae; Streptophyta; Magnoliopsida; Asterales; Asteraceae.
CUUUAGGUGUGUUUGUGUGUUUCAAUGUGUUUUAUGUUCACAGGUGUUUCUUUAUAUUUUUUUUUGGCUAUUGUGAUUUGAGGUUAAGAGGACACUAAGGAAAGAAAAGAAAGCGUGGGUACUAAACCUAAAGGUAUUUUUUUGUUGUAUUGAUUGGCGUUAAGGAGUAUCCAUAAAUUUGGUACACGAUCUUCCUGUUUUCGAUUGCACACCAAAUCCACCCGCAAUCCUUUUUUUCUCUCCAUAAAACCCCUAAACGAAUUUCCACAUCAUCAAGCUUUGGAUGUUGGACAUAUGUCUAUUUGAAUGCAAUUUGAGUUAUCAGUUUUCAAACGUUUUAUCAAACCGAUAAAGGGUCUUUUGUUUGUUCAUAAUUAAAUAUCAAUUCUUUUUGUUCAUCUUUAUGUCUGGAAUGAAGAUUUAUAGCUACAAGUUGACAUGGGAUUUAUUGGUUGCAGGAAAAGAAAGCGAUGAUGAAGAGAGGAACUUAUGGUUAUUGAAUAAAGAGAAAUGCUCCUUGGAUAUCCUUCUAUGUUUUCUUUGGCUUGAACAUUAAUAAUACUUAAAACACAGAGGCUUGAUUCUAUGGAAUGUUAAUAAUGGUGAGUUUGGGUGGAUUGGACUUUGGUUGGACUUUUUCGGUAAAAAGGGAAGCCACUAAGAUGGGUAAGAUGGUAGGACAGGAAAUGCAUUGGUGUCCUCUGUUGACAGAAUCAUCUUUGUUAGAUCGCCUGAUGUAGUAAGCAAAAAGAUAAUGGAUAAAAGAGAUGGAAUGAUGUUCAGUUUGAAGUUGAUGUACUGUGAAAUUAGAAGACUUAUGAAGGAUUUGAAGGAUGUUGAAGGGUUGAAGACUGGCUAUGGUAAGGAUUUAAUGUGGCUUGAAGGAUUUUGGAGUUGUGUUUGGAAAUAGAUAAGUUGGAUGUACACUGACACUUUGUUUGCGUUGGCUAGGUGUUUUACUAAGAUCAUUUCAUUGUUCUUGGCCGGAUAGUAAAUAUAUAUGAGGCGUUAGUUGUUCAAAUCAUUUAUUUAUUAAAUAAAUUGUACUAUGGACAAUAUGAGAUGGAUUCCACCAAAAUAGCCUGCAACACUUGGUGGAAAAAUGAUGAA